RNAcentral lists this transfer RNA (74 nucleotides) under Deltaproteobacteria bacterium. Its description in RNAcentral is "tRNA-Lys". It matches the Rfam family "tRNA". From Rfam's summary of the family: Transfer RNA (tRNA) molecules are approximately 80 nucleotides in length. Their secondary structure includes four short double-helical elements and three loops (D, anti-codon, and T loops). Further hydrogen bonds mediate the characteristic L-shaped molecular structure. tRNAs have two regions of fundamental functional importance: the anti-codon, which is responsible for specific mRNA codon recognition, and the 3' end, to which the tRNAs corresponding amino acid is attached (by aminoacyl-tRNA synthetases). tRNAs cope with the degeneracy of the genetic code in two manners: having more than one tRNA (with a specific anti-codon) for a particular amino acid; and 'wobble' base-pairing, i.e. permitting non-standard base-pairing at the 3rd anti-codon position. The record is from RNAcentral. Lineage: Bacteria; Pseudomonadati; Myxococcota; Myxococcia.
GGGCCACUAGCUCAAUUAGGCAGAGCAGCGGAUUCUUAAUCCGGAGGUUGCAGGUUCGAUUCCUGCGUGGCCCA